Long non-coding RNA from Sarcophilus harrisii (Tasmanian devil), 510 nucleotides. RefSeq lists it as uncharacterized. NCBI's taxonomy places the organism in Eukaryota, Metazoa, Chordata, Mammalia, Dasyuromorphia, Dasyuridae. The record is from RefSeq and is a predicted model, not a curated record. The transcript is spliced from 3 exons.
UGUUUUGACUCACCAUCAGGUAGUUUACAGAAUUAUUUCUGGGAGUGAACUUAGAGAGCAUUUAUUCAAGUCCUUUUAUUUUAUAGAUGAGGAAAUUGAGGCUAGGAGAAUGCAUCUGACUUGCUCAAUGUCAAUGGCUGAGCUGGAAUUUGAGAGUAAAUUCUUUAUCUACAAAUCUGAACUUGUUUCCAUCAUGUAUACUUCCUCUCAUCUCCCUCUUCAGAAUCACCUACUCUCAGCAUGAAUUCCUCACAGUGACAAGGUUUUGGAUGCCCCAUCUAGUGUGUGACCUGUGCCUAGUGAGAAAAAAUACAAUUUCUAAAAGUGCCUUCCCAGAAUUCCACUGGCCCAAACUUUUGCAAGCUGCUGCACUGAAUUUCAAGAAGUCAUUAUGAAAGGCCAACUGUGGACGACUGUAAGUUGCUACAGUUUCUCUCCAAUUCAAUAAGUCUAAGGAUAAAUAUAACCUGGGUUCACUAGCAUGAGUUAUAUUUUCCUAUGUCAAUUAGG